CCAGAUUUCCAAACAUAAACAUGUGGUUCAGCUUGUGCAGGUGUGUUUGUAUGUUCUGCUCAGCAGAUUUCAUCCUUCACCGCUCGCUGUUCCCCGUUGCUGGAGGAGAGAGGAGGUUUUUGUUCAGACGCUUGAUGAGGAAGACCCAAACAUGACCCUCCAUUUACUGCUCCUCUGCCAAUACCCCACCAAGGACAGAGCGGCAGUGUUUGUGUGUCUGUGUGUGUGUGUGUGUGUGGGGGGGGGGGGGGGACUGUACAGUUUAUCAGUUUGUGUUCCUAAAAUCGUUGUAUGAAAAUACAAGCUUCCAUAUUUUAAAGUAGUGUUUGUUUUUGACUGCGUGUCAAUUUAUGAUUACUAUUUUUUUCUAUUGCAGAGGCACGGACAUUAUUCUACAGGUGGAAUUACAGACCAGAGAUGAGACAACUUGAAGAUCUAAUUUUGUUGUUUUUGGAAAGAAGAAUAAAAUCUGUGCAAAAAUUUGAACGUUUUCCC
RNAcentral lists this long non-coding RNA (495 nucleotides) under Xyrichtys novacula (pearly razorfish). Lineage: Eukaryota; Metazoa; Chordata; Actinopteri; Labriformes; Labridae. The record is from RNAcentral.